UGUGAAAUUAUUUAAAGCGCAUGUUUGACGUAGAUGUAAACACGGUAUAAACAUUGGCACAAUGACACAGGUCACUCGAACACAGAAGUAUUGCAAGAUGCUGGGACUAUGAGAGUGUAUAAUGGAUCUGCUCUCCUGGUGAGGCACUGCUGGUCCUGGCCAAGGCUAUAUCGGGGAUUUCAAACAUCAGCGAGACACCACAGUUCCACUCAUUAUGACGUACUGGGAAUAAAAACAACGGCCACUCAAAAGGAAGUUAAAAGUGCCUAUAUACAGUCAUCUAAAAAGUACCACCCAGAUGUCUGUAGUGAUCCAAAUGCACAACGUCAGUUCACCAAGAUUGUAGAGGCUUACGAAGUCCUUGGUAGCCCAGAGUCCAGAUUAUCCUAUGACAGCAGUUUUAUCUCCACCUCUUACACAACUACAGGAGCACGAGGUCAUCAUCGGAAAUCCACAUGGGCAGAUUUUCAGAUGGAGGAGAAUAGACAUGAUAAUAGAAGCGGUGUAAGAAAAAAAGAUCUUUUUGACGUGCGUAAAGGGAUAAAAAUGAAGAAAUUACAUGAAGAAGAAGAAUUUGAUUUUGCCAUACGAUCUUAUAUGUCAAUAAUGGAUAUUAUUGUCUUCAUCAUGCUGAUGGUUUUUAUCACAAAUGCCUAUCGUAAACGUCGUGAAAAGCGAAUGAACUUCCUGCUACCUCCAAGGACUUCCGAAGACACAGUGGAAAUAGAGACUAAAAAUGCAUCUAAAGGUUUUUAUGGAACUCAAUAUUGAUAUAUAAAACUCCUCCAGAUGGACCAAUUCUCCGGAUGGACUACUCCAGAUGGACCAAUUCUCCGGAUGGACUACUCCAGAUUGACCAAUUCUCCGGACGGACUACUCCAGAUGGACCAAUUCUCCAGAUGGACCAAUUCUCCGGAUGGACUACUCAAGAUGGACCAAUUCUCCGGAUGGACUACUCCAGAUGGACCAAUUCUCCAGUUAUGUGAUAUCUAUAUACUGUCAAUGUUGAUGAACAUUGUACUGUAAAACAAGUUUUGUAAAUCAGGUCUGGUGAAGGUUGUUUAAAUUAGGACAGUUGUACAUCGUUAUAAGGAUAGUGUUAACAAGGUUACAUAACUCACAUAAAGGUCGGGUACCGUGUGUUAACAAGGUUACAUAAAUCACAUAAAGGUCGGGGACUGUGUGUAAAGUGAGGUCUGAUGAUGGUUACAUAAAUCACAUAAAGGUCGGGUACUGUGUGUUAAAUGAGGUCUGAUGACAGUUACAUAAAUCACAUAAAGGUCGGGUACUGGGUGUAAAGUGAGGUCUGACGACGGUAACAUAAAUCACAUAAA
Molecule: RNA transcript, 1334 nt
Organism: Mizuhopecten yessoensis (Yesso scallop)
Lineage: Eukaryota; Metazoa; Mollusca; Bivalvia; Pectinida; Pectinidae
Gene name: dnaJ homolog subfamily B member 9-like
Exons: 8
Source: RefSeq, a predicted model, not a curated record